This 81-nucleotide transfer RNA is filed under the name Puccinia triticina. RNAcentral describes it as "tRNA-iMet". It matches the Rfam family "tRNA". Rfam says of the family: Transfer RNA (tRNA) molecules are approximately 80 nucleotides in length. Their secondary structure includes four short double-helical elements and three loops (D, anti-codon, and T loops). RNAcentral also lists the same sequence under 1 other name. Lineage: Eukaryota; Fungi; Basidiomycota; Pucciniomycetes; Pucciniales; Pucciniaceae. The record is from RNAcentral.
AGCGAGAUGGCGCAGCUGGUAGCGCGCUGGGCUCAUAACCAUGAUACCCAGAGGUCGUCGGAUCGAAACUGACUCUCGCUA